Long non-coding RNA from Bos taurus (domestic cattle), 877 nucleotides. NCBI's taxonomy places the organism in Eukaryota, Metazoa, Chordata, Mammalia, Artiodactyla, Bovidae. The record is from Ensembl.
CGGCCCGGCCACCGCGCCGCGCGCUCCCCGCCUGGGAGGCCGCCCUUGGAGGAGCGCCCCUGAGCCCCGCCGGGCCCCGGAAGUCCCGGGACGGGGAGCAGGGACUCGGGCCGCGGUCCCGGCGCCCUCGCCGAGGUCCAGCGAGCCCGUCCGUGGCACCUGCCGCCCCUGGCCGGCCGCUGCUCGGCGCACUCCCUCCUCCUCGGGAGGGCGCGCCCUCCGGCCGGUCCGCUAGGAGCCUCGCUCCGCGCCCCGCGUCGGGGACCCAGCGCUGCGGCCCCGCGUAGCCGCCCACGUGCCUCGGCCUGGGGUCCGGCCGCCGCCGGGGCCUGGCUUGCGGGACCGACGCCCGCCGUGCGGCGCUGGAAGCUCCCGGGCCCUGGGCGUCGCACACCGAGGGGCAGAAGGUUGUUCAACUUGCCAGCUCUCUUCAGAGGACCCAACGGUGCCAGAGGAGACUUGCUCCAGGUCCCAUCUGAGACUUGGAAGCGGCUUCUCAUGCAUGUCUUCCCUCAAGUUUCUGGAAGGAUGAUGUGGGGCACGACCUGGGGGACAAAAGCAGUGGUUUCAUCCCCAGAAGCCUCAGCCGCUCAGUCCAUUUCCUUCUGGGUCAUGCAAACACAUCUGCUUUCCUGCGAGAUUUCGUCAGUGAUGACACCAGAAGCCUGAGGAAGAUGGGCCAGGGGUCACCCAGCCCCUUUAACCCCUCUAGUCCUUUCUGGCCUUGGGGAAAGAUCUGCCAACCCAACAUUGAUCUUGGAUAGAUCAGUUCUAGACCAGGCAGAAGGACAGAACUAAGUACGUCAAAGCAAAGAAGACACAUCAGAAUCUUUGUGGGUCAGGCCAGGAUUAGGUCUCACGCACCUAGCCUGACAGU